CUUCAGGAUUUGGAAGAACUGCUUUAGGAUCAUCCAGUUUUAUUCUAAAAUCUGUGUCAUUGCCCUAUGUUCCCUUUAGCCAAUGCAAAUCUUCCAAAAAUUCUUUUGAAUCUGAGAAACUCAUAACAAUGGAUAAAUUUUGUUCUGGUUACACGAAUGGAACAGCUGUCUGCGAUGGUGACAGCGGAGGAGGAAUGGUAUUUCAAAGUGGAAAUUUAUGGUUUCUAAGAGGAAUCAUUAGUCUCUCUUUAGAUUAUAUACUAUCUGGUGGAUCCAAGAUACACUUUUCCAAUUAGAAACAUCUAAAUCACUUCCAAUUAUGGAAGUGACUCAAUUAUAGCAAAUGCGACUACUUCUAGUCCCGCUGAAUUCAUUCCAACUUCUACAAACACUAUCACAUCUUCCCAUUGAUUCGAAAUACAACUGUUUGUACGGUACCUCCCAAUCCUGCGAACGGUUAUCGUCUAUUGCACAAAUCUUAUUGCCAAACACAAGAAGACUGUGCUGCGGAGGAAGGUGUGGAAUAGUUAGCGGUUCUCAUCUGAUUUAUACAUGUAAUCAGGAAUACGAAUUAAGCGGUACCAGUGAGCGGUAUUAUGUAGUCCAGAAGGAAAAUGGAUGGAUGGAUUCCUGUUUCGAAAGUUUAAUUAUUUUAUAUAUACGUUCCUUAUUACUGGUUUCCUUAAUGAAACCUAAUUUGCUGAUUGUAAAUAUAACGACGACUGCACUUCUUAAUAUAAAA
RNAcentral lists this long non-coding RNA (742 nucleotides) under Polistes fuscatus (common paper wasp). RNAcentral describes it as "uncharacterized LOC122514967". Lineage: Eukaryota; Metazoa; Arthropoda; Insecta; Hymenoptera; Vespidae. The record is from RNAcentral.